CAGCAGCCGCGGGAAUACGAAGGGGGCUAGCGUUGCUCGGAAUGACUGGGCGUAAAGGGCGCGUAGGCGGCGAUCAAAGUCAGGCGUGAAAUUCCUGGGCUCAACCUGGGGGCUGCGCUUGAUACUUGGUUGCUUGAGUGGGGAAGAGGGUCGUGGAAUUCCCAGUGUAGAGGUGAAAUUCGUAGAUAUUGGGAAGAACACCGGUGGCGAAGGCGGCGACCUGGUCCUUGACUGACGCUGAGGCGCGAAAGCGUGGGGAGCAAACAGGAUUAGAGACCCCGGUAGUCCCUGUCUCUUAUAU
Molecule: ribosomal RNA, 301 nt
Filed under: uncultured bacterium
Lineage: Bacteria
Description: partial 16S ribosomal RNA
Rfam family: Bacterial small subunit ribosomal RNA
Source: RNAcentral